This 335-nucleotide unclassified non-coding RNA is filed under the name soil metagenome. RNAcentral describes it as "partial contains 5.8S ribosomal RNA, internal transcribed spacer 2, and large subunit ribosomal RNA". The stretch from base 1 to 120 matches the Rfam family "5.8S ribosomal RNA", at positions 35 to 154 of the family's 154-position model. The record is from RNAcentral.
GAUGAAGAACGUAGCGAAAUGCGAUAAGUAAUGUGAAUUGCAGAAUUCAGUGAAUCAUCGAAUCUUUGAACGCACAUUGCGCCCAUUAGCAUUCUAGUGGGCAUGCCUGUUCGAGCGUCAUUUCAACCCUUAAGCCCUGUUGCUUAGCGUUGGGAUCCUACAGUACUGUAGCUCCCCAAAGUUAGUGGCGGAGUCGGUUUCACACUCUAGACGUAGUAAUUUUUUCUCGUCUGUAGUUGAGCCGGUCCCCUGCCGUAAAACACCCAAUUUAUCAAGGUUGACCUCGGAUCAGGUAGGAAUACCCGCUGAACUUAAGCAUAUCAAUAAGCGGAGGA